GGCGUGGUGGCCAAGUGGUAAGGCGUCGGUCUCGUAAACCGAAGAUCAUGGGUUCGAAAUCCUGUCCAUGCCU
Fundulus heteroclitus (mummichog) is the source of this 73-nucleotide non-coding RNA. Lineage: Eukaryota; Metazoa; Chordata; Actinopteri; Cyprinodontiformes; Fundulidae. The record is from the annotation of a RefSeq genome assembly.